GAGAGUGUAGCUCAGUGGUAGAGCACAUGCUUAGCAUGCAGGAGGUCCUGGGUUCAAUACACAGCACCUCCA
This is a transfer RNA of Camelus ferus (Wild Bactrian camel), 72 nucleotides long. It matches the Rfam family "tRNA". From Rfam's summary of the family: Transfer RNA (tRNA) molecules are approximately 80 nucleotides in length. NCBI's taxonomy places the organism in Eukaryota, Metazoa, Chordata, Mammalia, Artiodactyla, Camelidae. The record is from Rfam.